UGUAAUACUGCCUGACCAGGACCUGAGAAGUUGCCUUUGUUUAUGCCAGGUCUGAACUUGAUUUAUUAAAAAAUGAAAGCUUAAGAAUUUUUAUUUAGUGGAGCAUUCAAAUAUACAGGGGGCCCAAAUAAUCUGCAUAUAGGCUAUUGUCUCCUUGUCAUACUGAAGAGCCAGGGUGACAGAUGCUCUAGAAAUACCUUAAAUUGAUGCAGUACUAUUUACGUAAAUAAAUGAUGCCAAAAAGGAGGCACAAAUACAUGGUAGUGUUUAAAUUUGCUUAGUGACAUUUAAACAGGGAAGAUAGUACAUGUGAAAUGCAAAAUGAAAAUAAAACUUCUAAUCUCUAUUUUUUUCCUACAGCAGGUAGCAAAAAAAACCCAUUUUUUUAUGGUGGAAGUAUAUUAUAUAGACUGUGGUAAUCUAGUGGGCAAUAUCUGACAGACAGAUACUGUAUAAAGAAACUGUGAAAUGCAGUUCUCAGAACAGGCUGAAGUUAUAUUGAAUAGGAUGUUUAGCAGUUGCAUAUGCUCAGUGAUAACAGGGGUUUUUUUAUUUCUUUUUUUUUUCCACCUAGAGAGUUGGUGAAUUUGCAACAGCAAGAGUGGUAAACUUGAGCAACACUUGGAGCCCAGAGGGCCCAGCUCUGAGCCCAGUGCCCAGACCUGCCAUCUCUUUGGCUCUCAGGGUGGUGGCAACAGCAGCAAACUCUGCAAAACGCCUUUUUCCUGAAUAAAACAUGCAUGAUAAAUGAAUUUAGCGAGCAUUGAAGGGCUACUGACGAAGCAUAGGCUUUUUUGUAGCAUCCUAAACAGAAGGAUAUUGAAGGGAGCUGAUUCUGCUUUGAUCCUUGUGCUUGUUGUCAAAGCGCUUGGGAUUGAAGAGACUGUUGGCUACAAUUGACUGUGACAAUUAGGAGAUGAUCAGAGCCCUAGAGUGGAGCACUUAAAGGGUAAUUUACAUGUCAGUUUGUCGAAUAAAAAAAAGAUAUUCAGCUAAGAUUUUUUUUCCCCCCUUAGAGCCUUGUAAACUGCAAUUUGUGCUAUAGUAAGAAAAACCUGGCAGAGGAGUUAGGAUAGCCAUUUCCAUUUGAAAAGAGGCAAUCAUAAGGCCACUGCUGAGCCUAUUGUCCACUAAAAAUGCUGAUUUGCAGUCAGGGAGUGAAAGAGUGGAGACAUCACUAAAUAGAACCUUGUGCAAGGUAACUCCCCCUUGGUGGCUUUCUAAUGUUGGCUGAAGGUUUUAUAUACCUUAAAUCCUGCAUUUGCUAUCAUUACAAUAUUGUUACUGAUCAUGAAUGUCCUUUAUAAUAACAAAAAAAUGAAGAUAUUGAGGGGGAGGUGGGUGGAACAGAAGCCACCAGCCAGUUGAUAGGCUCACGCCAGCUAUCUAUUGUACCACAUCUUUCUUAUUCUCGUGCCUUUUGUAUGCCAACAUAAUUUUCUUGUCACCCUUUGCACUUUGCCAUUUAGGCACCUUCCGUAACAGUUUUCUCAUAGGUUUUUCAUACCUAUUUACACUUCUUUUUAGACACACAUCGAGUAGAUUUUCUUUUUUUAUUUUUUUUUUCCACAUUUAACCUCCUGGGAAAGGAAAAGAGAGAAGGAGGUGACAGUAGCCAUUCAGUUCAGAGUUUGUCUUUCUGUAACUGUGGUGUGAUUAGGCUCUAAUAAAGAGUUUAUACACACAGGCCAGAGAGAGAGCUGAAGUUAAGACAGCUAAGUAUUAAAUAACCUUGCUUGUGAUAAGUCCUUUUUUAUAUGAUAGCUCUGAUAAACCUAGAGUUGCUUUGACAGUAGGGUUAUAUGAACUUAUAAAAAUAUCAAGAAACAACACCUCCCUCAUUAUUCUGCUUGGUGUGAGCUGUAGCAUAUGUGAUAUUCCUAACAGUUUAAAGAAGGGAUAUUAGUGGAUGCAUAUGUGGUUCCAGUGUUUGUAUAUGCAAAUAAGUGUAUUUAUUUUGAGUUCGCAUCAUAGGCUUUUCUUCCAGUGAUGGCAUUGAUUCCUGUGUCAUCUCCCCAAAAGAAGAAAUGGACAUGUAUUCCAGUUUAGGAACCAGAAUUAAAGGCUUUGCUUUGUCACAAUUAUGACCAAGUAGCAUUUGCUGCCCAGACAUGUAUUGCCUAAAAAAACAGGGGCCACUUUUCUGGGGAAGUUUUGUGGCUUUCAGUAAAAGCCAAGCAUAUACACAAUGUCUCUGAUUCUCAUCCCAGUGGCAGACCCUGGUCAAACACCACUGACAUGAGCAGAUUUGGGAUUUCUAUUGGUGCCAGUAGGAUAAGGAUUAGGGUUUGUGUGCCCAUAGGGUCACCAAAAUGUCCUUUCCUUAGUUAUAUGCCUUAUGUCCUUAGGCUUCUUGUAUGUUGAACACCAGACAAUAAAGUUUUUGUUUCUGAACUUGUACUACAAACAUGUUUUAGCCUGGCUUCUGAUUUUUUUUUUUGUUUAAAUACUCCAAAAUACUUCUAAAAAACAUGCAAAAUUCUUCUUCAUUGUAAGGUUUAAUUCAAAGAAAAUAUUUUAAAACAUAUGUUUUCUUCUUUAGGAGAAUCAUUACGUUGUCAUUUUUUUUGGUAUGUUAUAAAUGCAAGAUGGUGGCUUUUGCCCUCUGUUGCUGUUGUACUAAACUUCUUUGAACAUGCCAAUGUUUGUGUGUGUUUAUCUCUGUAUCCAAUGUAAAGAACAAACAGGAAUAAAUAAAAUAAGAUAUGAAGAGUAAACAGUACGACAGGGCGAGUCUGGAAUGACUUUGGCUUAUAUGUGUCUGCAGAACUGAGGCAGAGUAAAUCUGUAUUAAAAAAAAUUAAAAAAUCAGGCAUAGCAGGAGGUCCUUGUCUCCCAGGUAAUGGCUAAAUGAUGAGCAGAUGAGUCAUAGUCAUAUUGAUUUAAGCAUUUUGUUCCAG
This is a long non-coding RNA of Melopsittacus undulatus (budgerigar), 2900 nucleotides long. The record is from Ensembl. NCBI's taxonomy places the organism in Eukaryota, Metazoa, Chordata, Aves, Psittaciformes, Psittaculidae.